AAUCGCUCAUAUCCGUCAUACAUAAUGACGUCUAAUUUGCGGUCUUUAAAAUAACUUUCUUGUAUCGCAAGUAAAUAUUAAGUAUUUGUACUCGUAUUACCUAAUUCUACCAAUUUAUUUCAUCCGUUUUGGAAACCAGUAACCAAAAAAGAAAAGACAAUGUCAAGAAUUGAACCCGGAAUCACUUGCACUAGAUUUGCUAAAACAAACACACACUAAGGCAGCAUCACGAAACGGUUCUAAAUAAUUAGAAAAUGGCCCCCUGAACAUGUGGUACCAAUACUAUAGAGCCCAAGCACAUUAGCCGUUAGCCGCAAGGGAACAUCUAAGCCAGGCAUAUCAGGGAAGAGUGGUUGGUAGAGUCGCACCAAGAGCAAGGCUUCCACGUUCACCAGACCUGACCGUAUGCGUUUUCUUUUUAUGGGGUCAUAAUUAUGAAAGCGCUUGUGUACGACACUCCGGUUCAACCGAGGAAGAGUUAGUAAGAAGGAUUAUGACGCUGCUGCUAAAAUUUAACAAAUUCCGGAAGUUUGGUUUAAAUGGUACGACGCGGUCACGCUUGCAUACCGUGGUAUGCACGGUACCGUAGUAUCAAAUAGUUCGAAGCGGGUGGUCAAAAUUUUGAAUAUCUUUUAAAGUAAAACAUAUAUUUUUUUAAUAAACUCUCCCAAAUA
Anthonomus grandis grandis is the source of this 674-nucleotide long non-coding RNA. RefSeq lists it as uncharacterized. The transcript has 2 exons. The record is from RefSeq and is a predicted model, not a curated record. NCBI's taxonomy places the organism in Eukaryota, Metazoa, Arthropoda, Insecta, Coleoptera, Curculionidae.